Non-coding RNA from Rattus norvegicus (Norway rat), 19271 nucleotides. The record is from RefSeq and is a predicted model, not a curated record. NCBI's taxonomy places the organism in Eukaryota, Metazoa, Chordata, Mammalia, Rodentia, Muridae.
GCUUUAUUUCUUGUUUCUAUUUCCAUUUUUAAAUUCCGGAUGGUUUUGUUCAAUUCCUUCACCUGUUUGGUUGUGUUUUCCUGUAAUUCUUUAAGAGAUUUUUGUGUUUCCUCUUUAAGGGCUUCUACUUGUUUACUUGUGGUGUCCUGUUUUUCUUUACGGGAGUUAUGUAUGUCCUUCUUAAAGUCCUCCACCAUUAUCAUAAAAUGUGAUUUUAAAUCUAAAUCUUUCUUUUCUGGUGUGUUUGAGUAUCCAAUAUUUGCUUUGUUGGGAGAACUGGGCUCUGAUAAUGCCAAGUAGUCUUGGUUUCUGUUCCUUAGGUUCCUGUGCUUGCCUCUCGCCAUCAGGCUGUCUCUGGUGUUUGCUUGUCUUGCUGUUUCUGACAGUGACUUGACCCUCCUGUAGGCCUCUGUGUCAGCACUCCUGUAGACCUGUUUUGUUGUUUUCUUUCAGCGGUUUCUAGGAGCAAAGUGCUCUGCCCUCAGGUGUCUAGGCACUCUUAGUGACUGUCUUUCAGCUCUAGGCAUAGGCAGGAACCGAAAGGGUCCUAUCCCUGACUGCUUCUAGAUCCCUGCACUCAGGGGGCACAGAUGGCACUAGGUGAUUCCCUCUUGGGUCGGGAGUGUGGGCAGAGGGUAGUCUCCUCUGAUUUCUCAGGAGUGUCCACAACUCUGAGGGUCCAGCUCUCUCCCUUACAGGGUUUGGGUGCAAGGAGCUGUUUGAUCGGUUCAGUUCAGUUCUGUGGGAAGACUGGAUCCGAAGGUGCCUGCUGCUGACUGCUCCUAUAUUCCAGUGUCCAAAGGUACUAUGCAGUUUCCUCUUGGGCCAAGGAUGUGGGCAAUGUGGGCGGAAGUGGCAGUCUAUCCUGCAGUCUCAGGAUGGUCCGCACUUCUGGGUGUUCAGCUCUCUCCCCCAUGGGAUUUGGGAGAAGAGAGCUGUGGGAUAGGAUCAGUUCAGUUCUGGGCAUAGCCAGUACUUAGUCUUUAAAGGAAGGCUCUGCUGAUAUUAUUAUACAGAUGAACCCUGAUGAUCAAAAAUCAAAAAUCAGACAAAUAUUGAAUGAUUCCACUACAAAGACAUGUAGGGUAGUUAGUCAUACAGACAGACAGUCAAACGAAGGCUAACAGGGACUGUGGACAGGGAAAUAUUUGUUUUCUGGAUAUGGAACUUCACUGUUGCGAGAUGGAAAAAUUUUAGAGAUCUAUUGCACCUCAGAGUGAUUAUACUUAAGACUAUUGAACUCUGUAGAUUAAAUGGCUAAAACGGUACAUUUUAUAUUAUGAAUCCCCACAACCCUCAGAAGGCAAGUCUGAUCACAUCACUUCUCUGUUUCAAACCAUCCUGCAUGCUUUGGGUGCAAAUCUUUUGUGCAUUGAUACACUGUAUCCUCUUGGAUUCAUCCAACUGCACUUCUCUUCUAGUCCCUCUUACCAUUGGCAACAACUCCCCUGAAUCUCAACAGAAACUCAUUCUUUGAGAGUUUCUUGGUCAACGCCCAGCCAGGACUGCUCUCCUAAUACCCUCCUAUUCAGUCUGUAAUUGCACACUCACUAUUUGGUCAAAGUCACUCUGUCACCAGACCAGACAUUCAGUGGAGACAGAAGUUCUUUUUCUUUCUCACUAGUAUAUCCCCAACAUCUUCCCCAAUGCCUGGCAUUCCAUAAUCUCUAUCAUGAAUUACUCAAGUAUUGAGAUGGGCCAGGAAAAAGCCAGUCUGAGGAAUCUGAAAUCAUGAGUGUCAACUUUCUAAACACAAUAAGGAGAUAUAUAGGGUAAACCUGGAAAACUUAAAGGACACUUGUUGAAGGAGUGUAAAUACGACCCCACAGACAGUGGGAGACGAACACUGAGCUUUGGUUUGGUUUGCUCUGCUUCUCUAUCCUUUGCUAAAGACGCACAUGUAUUGGUUCGCCUUACAUAUCAUUGUUGAGCUCAACUUGUGAUAAUGCCACCAUCGAGAGAAACUCACCCGAGAACUGCUCAUGAGGUUCCUGUGGGAGCAUGGCUGUUUCUUUAGGAUUGGUCUACAACUGCCUGGUGUCUGAUUGCUGAAAGGACUGGACUAUAGCUGCCGGUUCGUGUGUGCUGUCUGCCUGCCUAGAGGACUGAUCUGAAGCUGCUGAGUCCUAUUUGGUGUUUGUUACAGGAUUGGUCUGCUGUCAAAGGAGAUCAAGCUUUUUCCCAAAGAACUAUUGCUGAACAGGUCCAUUUCCCCCCUAUCCUAAUAAAUUUUCUCCUCCACUACCUCUGCUGGGUAGAGGAGAGGGUGAUCCCUUAUUAAAUGUGGGUUGCAAAAAAUGUAUGCCUACACUCUUUUAUCAUGACCCUGAUUAACAGGCUGUUUUAAAAUGUCUAGAAUUGUAUGGAUAGGAUAGGAUAGAUGUUUUCCAAAUUUUUUUCCUGCAGUGCUGGGACACAACGUCAUGCACAUGCUAGCCAUGUGCAGUCCCACUGAGCUGGACUCUCAACCCCAAUCACAUUUAUUUAUUUAUUUAUUUAUUUAUUUAUUUAUUUAUUUAUUGUGUGUGUGUGUGUGUGUGUGUGUGUGUGUGUAUUCAUGUGUGCAUGCACAUGUGUAGAGGUCAAAAGCUGACUUUUAGGUGUUGGUACUCUCCUUCCCCCACAUGGAUCCUGGUCAUCAAACUCAGGUGGUUGAUUUGGUGGCAGGCACCUCAUCUGUCGAGCCAUCUCACCAACCCCCAACAGAUAAUAUUUUUAAUUUUUAUUUUUUAAAUUAAAUUAUAAUCACAUAAUUUCCCCCUUCCCUUUUCUCACUUCAACCUCUACCACCUACCCAACCCACUUACUGUCUCUCAAAUUUAUGACUCUUUUUCUUGACUUAUGAUACACACACAAUUAUAUAAAUACAACCUGAUUAGUCCCUAUAAUGUUACUUAGAUGUGUGUGAUUGCAGGGUUAAGCACUUGGUAUUAUUGGAUAACCGGUGGGCAUAGCUUAUCUCAUGGGAUGACUACUUUUCCCAUUCUUAGCAUUCUUUGGUUGCCUAUAGUUCUUCGUCUAUGGUUGAGGCUCCAAGAAAUUUUCCACUUCUAAGUUAUCAGGCAUAUUGGUGUUAUCUUUGCCAAGUCUUUUUUAGAUAGCCACACUGGUGGGACUUUAUGGAUGUAGCUUUCCUGACAUUUGUAGGAGGCACAAUCUCACAGUAUACUUCGUGUAGUCUCCCGCCUCUUUUGAGAGGUUUCUCGAGCCCGAGGUGCAUGUGUUUUAUUUUACCCUUUAUCAGUUGGGGCUGGGUACCAUAUGAUCACUGGUUCUCAGCAUUUUCAUCAGUUGUGGUUUUCAGUGAUGGGCACCGUUAGUGUCAAAAGAAAACCCAAACCAAUACUAGGCAUAAGAAUCCUUUUAAGUCGUUGGUGAAGAAAGUGCAGGAAACUCCCAAAACAUCAUAGGCUAUUGCUCUUGCUCAUCGUUGCUUCCCAGAGUUGAAAGUCCGUACUGCUAGAGGAACCACGCACUUUGGACAUGAACCCAAAGGAUCAGAGCUGGAUCUGACCUGAAAACCUCCUCCCUGAGGACCAGUUUUCAGAAGGUGCUAUGCAAGCAUCCAAAGUAGGGAAGCUGAGUACUCCUAUUCAGCUGUCACACCUACAAACUACAGUAACAACCAGAAUGGCAAAAUACUCCCCAGGGUACACUAGUGGCACGAAUAUCAAGGCACUAACCAGCAGCUUUUUUUUUUCAACUUUAUUAACUUGAGUAUUUCUUAUUUACAUUUCAAGUGUUAUUCCCUUUCCCGGUUUCCGGGCAAACAUCCCCCUAAUCCCUCCCCCUCCCCUUCUUUAUGGGUGUUCCCCUCCCCACCCUCCCCCCAUUGCCGCCCUCCCCCCAACAAUCUAGUUCACUGGGGGUUCAGUCUUAGCAGGACCCAGGGCUUCCCCUUCCACUGGUGCUCUUACUAGGAUAUUCAUUGCUACCUAUGAGGUCAGAGUCCAGGGUCAGUCCAUGUAUAGUCUUUGGGUAGUGGCUUAGUCCCUGGAAGCUAUUAACCAGCAGCUUUUUAAAUUGUACUUAAAACCUGCUCUACAAGAGGGAAAUCACGCCUGGUAGUGAAAACCUAGCCAACUACUUAGGGUAGGUGAAGUCAGGAAUAUUGGAGAAAAGCUUACAACUGUCACUUUAACCAGCAUAAGUCCUGUAUUGUUGAUAUUUACCCUUAUACCCACAGAUUAGUAUAGCUUUCACCCUUCAUCAAAUAAUAUUUUCAAGGAAUUGUGUGCCAUGGGAAAAUUGUUAGUAUGUAGCAUCAAAUAGACAAAGUAGGCUAUGUAUAAUUAUAUCCAAUUAUGUUCCCAAUUUUAAAAAAUCAAAUUCAAAAAUAAUCCCAGCAUUUGGGAGGCAGAGGCAAGCAGAUUCUUGUAGAUCGAGGCCAAUCUGGUCCACAGAGCAAGUUCCAGGAUAGCCAAAGCUACAUAGAGAGACUUUGUCUCAAAAAUAAAAGAAAAUUGUGAAACAAUAAAUAAAAUGUUUUUCAAAGAACAAAUAAUCCAAUCCAAAAAUUGUGCAAGUUAAUUAACAGAUGAUUCUCAAAGGAAAUUCAAAUGAUCAAUAAGUAUACUCUUUUUUGUUUUUCAAGAUUUAUUUAUUUUAUAUAUCACGAGAACACUGUAGCUUUUAUGAAGCAAACAAAUGCUGAUGCAUAUUCAGAGAAGGGGGAAUCCUUAUGCACUGCAGGUGAGAAUGCAAACUGGUAAAGCGACUAUAGAAAUCAAUUGGAGGUUCCUCAAAGAGCUGAGAAGACAAUGACUAUCUUGGCUAUACUGAAGGAUUCGAAGUCACCAUACCUCAGAGCUACUUGAGAGCUCCACUAUGCACAAUAGCUUGUAAAUGGAACCAGCCUAGAUGAUGAUCAACAGAUGGAAGGAUAAAGAAAAUGAGAUGUUUAUGUCCAGUGAGUGUCUUUUCAGCCAGGAAGAAAACAGAAAUUGUGGUAUUCAUAGGCAGAUCAGAUAGAACUGGAGAUGAUCAUGUUAAACCAAAUAGGCCAGUCUCAGUCUCACAAAAGAAAGUGUCACCUGUUUUAGUCUAUGUGGAAACAGUACUCUAAGCUGUUGACAACAGUCUUUUUGGAUCACAACAUGGUAGUCUGUGAUAACCUCAAAAUAUGUAUGGAGGGAACUUUAGAAGCCAUUAAGUGCAUGAAAGAGUUGUCCUGACACUGUACAUUGCCUUUAUAUGGAAAGCAGAAUUUUGCUUAAAGUGACAGGAGCAUCCACAGUGACUUUGGGUGUAUUGCUGGAAAUUAUGGUAACAUGCGCCCCUGGCUACUCUUUGAUGCUUACCGCAAUAAUUUUAGUGACCUUGAAUAUUUGGCUGGUUUACUAGAUGUUUUACAAUGAACACAUAUUGCUUUUUAUACUCACAAAAAGAUUAAAGAAAACAUUAUUUUGAGAAAGAAAGGGAUGUCUCUGUGUUGGAGUGAAUGAACACGGUUUCUCCCUCAAGAAUAGGGGGUGACUGGAGAUGUCCUUGUCAACGCCAUGCCCCUCAACCUCAUGUUGAAGUGUUUUGACAAAGAAGAUCACUGGGGUCUUAUCUGUACCCCCUAGGAAUAGCUCUAUGGAGUAUAAAGCUUCAAGAUAACACCUCAAUACAAGCACAGACGUGCACACACACACACACACACACACACACACACACACACACACACACAAACCACAAACUCUGGCUUUGCAGAACAAGGAUCAUGUGCAGAUUGCUGCUAUGGCCAGUAGACGGCAGCAGAGGAUGACUAUUCUCUCUCGUUAAAAGCAUUUAAAAGUGGAAUUAUUUUCAUUUUGGCAUCAUUUCUUUUCUACUGAGGCUCAAAAAGCCAACAAAAACAAAGCUUUUUUUUUAAAAAAAGAUUAAAUUGAAACUGGGUAAAAGGCAGUGGAUAUUUCAGCCCUGUGUUUCAUAGAACACCAUGCCAAAUCAAAUAAUAUUUUCCUCCCUCAGUUAUUUUGAAAGCGCCAACCACAGUUGAGAAGUAAUCUUGCUGCCUAGAGCUAGUGACUUAUAUCUUCUGCGGAGAGGAAAAUGGAAAUGACUGGACCAUCUGGAGAAGGAGGCUGGGGAGAAACAUGAGAACUGGGAAGAAAGCAAAUGACCCCUGACUAGGUAGCUGGAGGAGCACAGGGAGCGGGGAGGCUGAAGGUGGAGGAGGUUGUUGUGAGUUGCACUGGAGCCCUCCAAAUCCACAUGUUUAAGUCUUAAUCCUUAGCACCCAUGAAUAUGACCUAAUUUGGAAAACACUUUGCCUAGCUCCCCUCCAAUGGCUUGGAGGUGCCGUUGCACGCUCCUUUUGCUUCUCAGCCCUACCACCAAGUGGUGGUGUGUCCUGGGAUUUGGUCACAUCUCUUCUCAUACUACAUUUCUCCAUUAACCGAGCUCAUUCUUUUGCCUGCCAUUCCCACCUGUAGGCUAACAAGUCCCAAACCUCUCUAUCUGAAGCAAUAUCCAGCCCUGCCAUCGUCCACUUCAGAUCCAUUUUACAGUGCUGUCAUCCCCUACUUGGUUGAUGUUCUAAAGUCUGCUACUUCAAAAAAUGGAGGGGAUUUAGCUCAGUGGUAGAGCGCUUGCUUAGCAAGCACAAGGCCCUGGGUUCAGUCCUCAGCUCUGGAAAAAAAAAAAAAGGAAUGAUCACAAGAGCUAUCCUCUAACUAUUCCCAAUACAAAAGAAUGUGAGUGCCCCCUCCCUCCCUCCAUCCCUCCCUCCCUUUCUCUUCCCUCCCCCCACUCUGUGUGUGUGUGUGUGUGUGUGUGUGUGUGUGUGUGUGUUUAAAACAGGGUUUCUCUGCGUAGCCCUAGCUGCCCUGGAACUCACUCCAUAGACAAGGCUGAUCUUGAACUCAGAGGUCCACCUGCCUCUGUCUUCAUGAAUUCGGGGAUUCUAGGUAUGUGCCACCACCAUCCAGCACACACUGCUCUCUUUAAAUAUAGGAAUCAUGCUCAGAUCAGGGAGAUGAUCAUACCACAAAACACAACUUAGAACUGACACCUGCUAAAGGGAUGGCAGUGUGACAUCUUUCACACUGAUUCCCAGAACACAAUUGCUUGGCCCGAGCAUGGGUGGGGUACAGAAUAGUUUCCACCAGUAUUUUCCCUCUCUAGGAAAGCAUAAAUCGGGUUGAGUUGACAUUAAGUGAAUCCUUAUACGUCACUACAGACUCAAGCGCUCCACCAGAUGCCCCACAUUUAUCUCAAACUGAACCUGUCAUACUGCCAUAAAUCAAGCUUUUCCAGAGUUUUCUGUGUCCUCAGUGAAUGCCAGUGCAGUCCUACCAACAGAAAUAGUCUGUUGUAGGUGGUGAGGGUGAAUGGGAGUGAACGCACCUGGGUGUAACGGCGCCUGCGUGUAAUGAGAUUUAUACUAAAUUCAAGGACACCCUAGGAAACCCAGAAUGCCAAAAUAACCUGUUUUGAGAGAGCAGGCACAGGGCACACUUACUGAAAGGCCUUAUCCAGAAGCCUUGCCCACCUGCCUAGCCACAAGGACCCUUGGUAAUAAUGUUUAGUAUUAUACUAUACAAUAAGACUAAUGUAUAAUUUGCCUCUGAACAAAUCCUGUAGAAUUCUGUUCUAGAGGCUCUCGGGGGUUGGCAAACCAUGGGCCAAAUCUAACAUACCAUCUAAUUGUGUAAGCUAAGUUUGAUUGAAGCACAGCAAUGCUAUUUUUUCCACGUUAUCUAUAACUGUGCUUUACUACAAUAAGAGAAUUGCCUCAUUGCUGCAGAGACUCAUGAACAAAAACAUUUACUACCUGACCCUCUACGGAAAAUUUUAUAAACAUUGUACACUAGACUGUUCUGCUCUGAGCCCUACUAGUGGUGCCUGGGCCCUUUAGUACAAGCUUUGGUAGCAAGUCCAUGUCAUCCAACAUUUAACUCAAGAGAAUUCGUACAUAAAUGCUCAGAAGACCAACAAAAAGUGAUAACAAAUAUGGUUUGGAGCAGCCAUUUCGCCCCUCAUCACUCACAUCCAGAGCGAGCAUGGAGCAAGUGUGAACUGGUGCACCUGCUCUUCCCAUACUCCUUCUCGGUCCCUGUGCACCUCUCAUUGUACUGGACUGGUUCUCAUGUCUGCACUCAAUCAACAGUGCUGGGACAACCAGAUAGCCAUCUGGAAGAAUCCAGAGUUGGAUCCAUCCCAUAUACUGAGAGCAAGAUAAAUUCCCACCACUGCAGACUAAGGAGUUUCCUUUGCCUGAGGAAGUCCCUGGAUGGAUGAUCAGUUUAGAGACCCAGAAGAUAAGCAAAUGCCUUGUGGGAGCCAGGGGGUUGGGGUUUUGAUGGACCUAGUAUACAGCAAGCAGACCCCUUGGCUGGAAAAAAGAUGAGCCAACAAUGUGUAUAUACAACGUGUACAAUUUAGAACUGGCCAGGAAGUAGGGCUAAAACUGACGGUCUCAGAGGGAUCAGAGCAGGCCAGACCCACAAGAAGUGGAUCUCACUGACACAGGAAGAGCACAGGCUCCUUAGCCAAGGGGUUGGGCAAACAUCGUUCAUUAGUUCCUAGAAUAUAGCUAGGGUGUUGCGUAACUCAGGGGUCAUGACUGUGGUGCCGCCCACCCCUGAUUCACGAAGCCCCCAGAGGCUCACAUUCUGGAAAACUCACAGGCCAUGGAGUGGCUCCAGGAACUGAGGUAAUCCCAGAAAAGAUGAAGUGAUCCCUGCUUCAUUUUUCAAGUAGACAGCUAGAGACCCUGCGGACAAAGGACAGAGAUGGGAAGGCGAGAGUGAAGCCAACAGGAUGAUCCUUGUAGUGACUCAAACCUUACAAUCUGAAAAGCAUUAGAAGUAAUUUUAAAAAUACCUUACAUGUUUGUUCCUUUAGUUUGUCCAGACUCUUGGAGAGUUGUUAUUACUCGCAGUCUAAAGUUACACCACAUGACGAAUUUUGUGUUUAAUCCAUAUCUCGGCUCAGGAAAAUAGAAGACCAACCCAAACCUGAACCAUGAUCAAAAGCAAAGGGGCAUGCUGUCCCUGUCAGCUGGGUGACACCUGAAAUGGGGAGGGGCAGGGGAGAGACAGGGGCACAAUGAUUACCUCAGCCUCUGCUUCAAAGCCUGGGUACCCCCUGAAGUCUUGGAGCAAGGAAAGAUGCUGAAUUUCCUGAGUUGAGCUCCUUUUGAAGUCUUUCUCAGCCACUUCAGGAUGUGGCCAUCCUGACAGGAAUGAAGAUACUCUAAAGACAAGCUUAGGACCCUCCUGUUGGCUCUAAGUCAAUUGAAACGACAGACCCCUAAAAAUCUUUCCCAUGGGAGAUACAGGCUAGUAAAAUGAAAGGCUGAGGCUGUGGUGCCAACCAAAGGAGAAACUUAUCUCCCAAGAUUCCACACCAUUCUGACAAGUUGCCAGACCAAUUUACAGGAGAGAGAAGGUGGAGCCCAUGCAGACAAUAAAGGGUCAAUGAUGGGCAAGCGACACCAUCUCGUAACUGGAACUGCUUAGUUAUACAUAUCUCUGGCCCCCUAUUUAAAUCUACCUGACAGUACCCAGAAAAGGGACAUGGAGACGCAGAGCUACUGGUCCUUUUAGUCCCCUUUUCUUAAUGUGCAGCAUUAACUACAUGAGUAAAACCCUUUUCUCCUGCAAAUUUUCGCUCUUCUUUAUUUGCCUAUUGAAGACAAAUUGCUAAGCCUGGUUUGUGAAGGGCCAAAUUCUCAUCCUAACAACUCUGGUAAUGAGAACAGUCAAGAGUGCCAGCCCACAAAGUCCCCCAAUGCCUGGUUUUCUCUCACUUCCCAUUCUUUGAGUCUCGAGAAUUGCUUCUUGCUACAUCCUCCCAGUCUCCUCUGUGGAGAAGAUAUAUGGCUCUUUUUUGACUUCUUGUGACUGUAGAAGGGAGAGUGGUAUAUUGGAGAACUGGCCAGUCAUCUGUUGUGGUAGCCACAUGCCCAUCCUGAGGAACCACAUUGUGAGAUUUCCAUGUCAGGCCUCUGGAUGGAAGUGUUCACAAGUAGCAUUGUUUGUAAGGUGGGAUCUGGGAGACGUGGAAAAAGGCUGGUGAUUUUGAAAAGUCUGAGCAAUUCAGCCUGGAGCCUCUUCCCAAGUCUUGCCAAACAUGCAGAGCUGAGGGUGUGGCUGAUUCAAUGGAUGUUACCUUAGGCUCUUAACCAUCAGACUGCCAAGAAAAUGUGUGAGCCCAAAUCUUAAGGGCAAGAGCACCGACAGCAUCCUUAAUGCAUGGCCAACUGCAGGCACAGGGCCUCUGCCUCCCAAUGUAAAGCUUUCCCACCAGUCUAGAAACCAGUCCCAAGUCACUUUGUCCUGCAUUGUCCCAUGGUCACCCAGAGACCUGUCUGGCACCUCCUCCUUGCAUUGCAAGGACUAGGGCAGAAAGGUGAGACAGUUAACCUGAGCCAAGCAAGGGAUGAAGACCAUGAUGCAAAAUGAAGCAGGAGGCAAAGCUGGACAAGAAAUGCCAGGGCCCCUGGGUUCGGUCCCCAGCUCCGGAAAAAAGAACCAAAAAAAAAAAAAUAAAUAAAAAGAAAUGCAAGGGCUGUGGCGAUGACUGUCCUCCUGGCUUCCAUAGUUCUUUAACGUGCUUUUAAAGGACACGACCUCAGAAAGUGUGGUGGGUAGGUUGAAGGUGUGGCUAGAUGACAAAACCGGACACUGUCAUAUUUGACACCUCCUUCGGUUUCAUGAUCCCACACCCUUUUUGCCCCAAAUUCUUUCCGACUUCUCUUCAACUCUAUUUCCAUUGUAGCCCAAGCCACUAACCAUCAUCUUUCUGUGAUGAUUAAGACAGGGAAGGCAGACAGACUAUAAGCUACCUAGUUGAAUCUGAAUCUCAGACACAUAAAAUCAGUUUCAGCCUAUCUUGUACUACAUUUGGGCCACACUUACACUUAAACAAAGCAUUUUCUCUGUGAAGUUUAAGUGUAACUGGACCAUCUGUGUUUCAUUUUGUUUGUUUCUCUUUUUUCCCUUUUGUUUUGUUUCUAAACCUAGCAACCAGACCAAGAGCUUCACAGCCCAGCAUCCCUUACAAAGCAGCCAAAAGGAACUUACAGACAUUUAGAUAUGGCCAUUGUCACUCACUACUCAACACCAUGAAAUCCCUGCUCACCCAGGGAUCAAGUCUAAGCUUUUCACACGAUACACAAGAACUAUCUCUGCCUGAAGGCUUCCCAGCCCUUAUCUUCAUCUCAUUCUGUUACCCCGAAUCCACGCUAUGCCCCCAACAUACCAGAUGCCCUAGACUCUUCUCAACGUGCUUCUUUGCUUUUACAUAUACCAACUCUGUCACGUUACCUGAAGAAUUAAAGUCAUCCAGCUAGCAACCACCAUCACUGACACGCAACAAAAGACAUAUAGGCCAAAGGAUUAGAAUAGAGGACUGACCCUGAAAUAACCCAAAGUGCCUAGAGCUACCAGAUCUUUGGACAAGGGUGUCAAAAACAUACACUAGAAAAAAAAGUCAACCUCUUCAACAAAUGGUCCUGUGGGAAUUAGGUACUCACAUGAAGACAGAUGAAACUAGAUUCCUGUCUUCCCCCCUAAUACAAACAAAAGUUCAAAGUUGAUCAAAGGCCUUAAUGUAAGACCUGAGGCUUUGAAAGUGCUCCAGGAAAGCAUAGAUGAAACACUUCAAGACACAGACUUGGGCAUCAAGAGACGCAGACUUGGACUUGGGCAUCAACUUUCAUUAAGGGACAUACAGGACUCAACUCUGAGAACUGACAAACUAGGUUGCGUGAAAUUAAGAAACAAACACCAGAGUCUAAAAGAUACCCUCAGGAUGGGAGAAAGCCUUGCCAACCACACAUUAGAUGGGGGAUUGCUAUCCAGAAUGUAUAAAGAAAUGCAAAAGGUAAACACCAAACCUUCCCCCCCCCCCAGUUAAUACGUGCUGAUGAGCUGAAUAGUCAAUUCUCAAAACAAGAAAUACAAAUGACCAAUAAAUAUUUUUUACAAGUAUCCAGCAUCUUUAGUCGUGAGGGAAGUGCAAAUUAAAAUUGGUUUUGAGAUUCCAUCUCAACCCACUUAGAGUGGCUAGUAACAAACAAAUGCUGGAGCUAGCAACGUGGCUCAGCGGUAAGAACGCGUGCUGUUCUCCCAGAAAACCGGGUACCAAUAUGGCAGUUCCCAACCACCUAUAACUCCAGUUUCAAGGAACCUAACACCUUCUUCUAGAUUCCACGGGUACUAAGAAUGCACAUGGUACACAUGCAUAAAGGCAGGUCAAUAUCCACACAUACGAAAUAAGAACAAAGGUGUUUUGUUUUGUUUUGUUUUGUUUUGUUUUGUUUUGUUUUGUUUUGUUUUAAUCCUAGCAAGGAUAUGGGGAGAGAAGCCUUAUAAAUUGGGUGGGGUGUGAACUGGGGUAAAUAUGGAGGGUCCUCAGCGUGCUGAAAAUAAGACAGCAAAGUGUUCCAGCCCACUCCUGAGUUGCACAACCAUGUUUAUUGCUGGAUUAUUCACAAUAGCAGAAGAUAGAACCAGUCUAAAAUCCCAUCAACAUGUAAAUGGGAAAAUAGUACAAUACACAUAGUAGAAGUUUAUUCAGAUGUGAAGGAGCUUGAAAUCAUGACAUGAGAGAAUGGAGAGGACCUGGAGAAUAUUACAUUCAGUGAAAUGAGCCAGACACAGAAAGACAAACCCUUUCUGUUUUUUCUCAUAUGUGGAGUAUAGAUGUAAAUGCCCCUCUGUGUGAGGAGGGGCAUAGGCGACUGUGAGAGAAGAUGAGAUAUUAAGGGAGGGGACAGAAGGAGAAAGAGUAAUGGAGUACAGGUGACCCAAUACCCGAAGAGGCAACAACUACCUGGGGGAAAGAGGGUAUCAGGAAGAGGAGGGCAGGUGAAAAGGAGACAGGUAUUUGGGAGAGGGACAAAUAACAACAGAUAAUCACACACACACACACAUGAAAAUUUCAUAAUCCAUUAAUUAGUAUGAUGACUUUAAAUUUAAUUUUUAAAUUAUUAAUUUAUCUCAAGGAAAUAACAGGUAACGACAAUGUAAUUUUUAAAAUGAAGCUUAAAAACCAUGUCCUUUUUCUUCUUCAUAUUACUCAUUGCCUCCCAAGCACAAUGCAACCUAGCAUGAAAUAACCCUUUAUACUUAUUUUCCUAUUAAAGCAACCUAUGUGGGUCAGCGACAUGGAUCAACAUAUAAAUGCACGUGUGACUACACACACACACACACACACACACACACACACACACACACACACACACCACAAAUAAAUACAAAUGAAAUUAUCUUUUUAAAAUCUGUGUCUAUUUCUCCUACAGAAGUGUAGCCUCCUUAAAAGAGUAUUUAAGUCUUCUUCAUCGUUGUUGUCACGGUGCACAGAGCGCAGCUGCUGGCCAGCGUGGAGCAAUCAAUAAAAGUGUGAGGUGUGAAUGAACCAAGAGGUGUGAAUGAAUGAAGUAUUGAUUCUAAACCCGAAGGCUCCGUAGGCCAAUAGAAGUGAGUGCAGUAACAGUAGUGGACACCAGAGGGCAGUAUAAGCUUAGUUUUGUCCGGUGGGCGGGGCUGUAGGGGAAAUGGAGCCGAAACCUGACUUGGCUCUCGCAUCAGUUUCAAAGAGAAGAUUUUCUGCUGUUUUGUUUUGCUUUGUUUUUAAAUCGUGGAAACAGGAAACAGGAAGGAACCUUAAAAAAAAGCAGUUGAUUCAAUCGCCUCUGUUCACACAGUUGAGAGAAAUCUCCCUAUUUCUAGUUAACUCCUUGUUUCCAGGAAAUGCAAUUCAGGUUAGGAAUAAAUCACAGGUUAGGAGAUUUUCUUCAUGUCAGAGAACCAGUGAAUGGUAACAGUAGGUCUGAUGUCCAGAGUUCUGCAAGCAAGACCCCAUGUCCUUCUCACUGCCGCCCUAAGAGAGAGGUGCUGUUCCUAAAUUGCACAUGGAAGAAAGCCACCAAGGUGCUGUGGUAGAGUGGGGCUCGGACCCAGGUCUCCAGAUCUCCAUUUUCAUGCCCUGUCCUUCCUCACAGUCAGAAAACUGCCAACGUUGGGGUACAGACUGGAGGCUUCUCUUUCUGGAUGCUUUUGCAAGAGUCACCCGACUGUUGCAAGACGAUUCUGCAGACCCCAACGUUCUCAGCACCAAAUCUCAGAAGGUUCUCAUAUAGGGAAUCCAGGUGGAGCCUCUGAAUUCUGGCAAGUGAGGCCCUUGGGUGGGAAACUAAGGUGGGGGUGGAGGGGGGUUCCUGCUCACUCAAAAGUGCAACGUGAGAAGGUGCAGGGCAAAGCUCGGUGUGUGCAUCUUACUCCGUACCCAGAAGCCUCACCUGCCUCACUUGUACGCCUGACCCUGGGAAGAACAUUGAAACACGUACCCUUAGUCUUUUCGCCCAGUGCUCGACCAGCCUGGCCUUAGAGGAACCUGGAGGGCACAGGGGUCCCUAGAAGUAGAAGAAGAAGGUAAGAUGGAUUCAGGGUAAUCAGAAGAACACACACACACACACACACACACACACACACACACACACACACGUUUAUCUCUGCUAUACAUUUUGAUCCUCCUUCCAGAGGAGCCUCCAAGAUCUUUGUUCCUAGGGCCAGUCUUCGUGGCUGGAACAACUCAGACAUGCUAUGUUCUGAGGGCUCCUUGACAGCAGGGGGAAAAAAAUAGGCCAGCCAUGGGCCCCGCUACAGUGCUCACCACCCAGUUUUGCCUCGCCUUGCUCUCAUACAUAGACUGAGGCCAGAGCUACAAACCUGUAACCCAAGCAGAUGCCCAGCCAGGCAUGGCUUUUUGAUAGAUCUGCCAUUCUUCCCUCUUCAAAGCUCAAGCCCCCCCCCCUUCUGGGUGGAAGUCUCCUGGCAACUCCUCACCUUUCUGGGUGCUGAGGUGGGGAAGAACAGACAAAGCUCAGUCACGGUCUCCUUAUGCUGUGAUGUCCCCAAAUUUCCACUUGGAUCAAAGGAAGGAGAUGGUGAGAGCAGCAGAGAGGUUCUUAAUGGGUUCCUACAGAAAACUUUGGCUGCCCUGUGGUGGAAAGUUUCUCAGCACAUCUUUUUGGAGGUUUUUCCUCAGCUGAGGCCUGCUGGUCAGUUCCAGGGUCUCCAGAAGACCCACUCACACCGGGUUCGGUAAAUGCCCACUGAACAACUUGCUGUGCCUUGGCUCCUAUAGCGGAGACUGGAGAUCAAAUGAGCACCAUUAUUAACCUCGGCCAUGUUAGAUGAUAAGGCUUAGCAUACCUAAUUGCCAGGGGAGAAGCAAAAGGAUUAGGAGGGACCCAUUAGCAAGUAAGAAACACCUUGGGAUGAAGAGAGCAAGUUGCGUUAGUUCACCAGAUGCAUUUCCCUUGCAUGUCAAAAAUUUAAAGUCCAUCUGUCUAGUUUUGGUUUUGUUUCAGUGCAAUUCAAGGCAGAUUCUGACAGGUAGCUGAGCUUCUGGGAGCAGUAGAGAGCAGUGAGUAGUAUCAAGGCCUGGAAUCAGAAAUGCUUGCUUUCUAGCUAGGGCAGAUGCUACCUGUGCACGUCUAGAUUAGUCACUUCCAUUCUCCGAACAUGUUUCCCUGGGUGCAAAGUGGGGAUGAUAACCACACCUCCCUCUAGGACUAGGAGGAUCAGAGUAGACAGAGUAGAAGCAAAAUGAGCCAGCACUGUGUACUAAUGACACAUAGUACAUUGGUAGACAUCAGUUAUAACUUGUGUUAUUAAGAGGUCAGUGAGCAGUACAGAAAGCUUUCCUUGGGGGGCUUGGACUUGAGCUUAGCCUUGAAUGGAGAAAAGAUUUUGGAAGACAUCUUCUGAUGGAAGAAUAUUCUCAUAGGUAAGUCUUCACAAAAAAUGAAAUUGAACAAGAUUCCCAUUUUAAACCCCCCCCCCCUUCCAAUGAAUGAUCUAAUGAGAUUGUCAUGCACGUGACAUGACACAAGAGAUCCCAGCAAGGACAGGGAAGUCAUAGGGGAGUCCAAGAAGCAGCAUAGGCCUUCUAUUCUUGAUAGAUAUUCAUACUUCUUCACAGGGCAGCAGAGGCCUAACUGUGGGCCAAGGCAUGCAGUCAGUCAGCUUCCUGCUUUGUGACCAGGGCAGCUCUGAAGCUGUAGACCCGUCCUUUCUGCUCCCCUCCUGAAAAAUUUAACCCUGAAGAAUGAGCUUUCUGGGUCCCAGAAGAUGAAGGCAGAGACCCUGCUAAGGAAGUGGUAUGCGUCUGAAUGGGCUUCUCAAGAAACAAGGCCCUACCUCCCACCUCGUCCCCCAGCUCCAGUUCUGCCCUUGUUUUCAUAUUUGAAAUGUUGAUGAAUUCCUUGAGAAGUUUAAACAGUCGCUGCUUGCUGCAUCCAGGGAGCCAGGACUUAAUUUCCCCCACACUCCUCUCCCUCCCCCAGCUAGGGAGAAUUGUGGGUACCACUUAACCUACUCCUAUUCUUGUUUGGAUAGAAGUGGUGUGGUGUGUCCUUUUCUCUGCCAUCUCUAUACACUAGGUCAAGCUGCAAUAACAAACGCCCUGAAAUCAAGGUAUACAGAAAAGGCUUUUUCUUCCUCACACAAUCUAGCGAAGGUUGAACCACAGCUAGGGAAAUUAUCUGAAACCAGGGGCCUCCAAGAACUCCAAACCAGAGCCAGAAAGACCUGGGGAAGCAGGGAGUCCUAGCUCAGACUGCCACAACAAACAGCCAAAAACCACCUCCUAACCAUGUGGCAUCUAUCCCUUGGUUCUGAAUCCUGGGAAGUCAGUCCACCAUCAGUGCACUGGAAUCUUUUGUGUCUAGGCUGGGUAAGCUUCCUGUCAUGCAAAUGGUGUCUUUUCGUGGCAUCCUCACCCCAGAAAGAGAAAGAUACCCCUCUGAUAAUAGUGUUAAUGGUUCUGCAUCAGGACCCCAUCUUUCCAAGCUCACUUGCCUUUCGUUCUUUGCUCCAGAUCCAGACACUCUAUGAAAACUCCUUUGGGAGAUAUAAUCCAGCCCACAACAGCACGGUAACCCUUGAUGAUGAUGCGCAGUGAUUCCAGUGGCCUGCUCUCAGGGACUUGCUUAUGUUAUCUUCAGCCACCUGCCACCCACUGCCACGUGUGCCAGUGUGGUUAUUUUGCACAUUGUCACUUGCCCUCCUGGGAAAUCAUCCACACAGCACUGAAGCCAGAUGCUGUCAACAUGCCUUGGAACAUCCCGGUCUCCAGAACAUUGAGGGGAAAAAAGGAAAUUUAUAUCAUUGUGCUGUCUGUGUCACUAAAACUUGGGUAAACUUGCCAGAAGAGUCUGCCAGCUACGGCUGUGUGAAACCAAAGCAGGCUACCCUGAGAGAUAAUGAACUCCUCAUUCCUGGAGGGUAACAGAAGGGCCGCUGACAGGGAAGAGACCAGUGGGAACGUGAAGUUCACUGAAGGAAGCAUUCCAUUGGAUGCAUACAGCGGAGAAGCCAUUCAAGUGCUCACUCGCAAGUGCGGAGCUCAGGGACAGGGAAAAAUUCUCUGCCGUUCCAACACUUUGCCAGCAGGGGGAAGCAUCUCAUGCUACAUUUCUCCCCCAAACUGAGCAAGCCGACUGGAGAAUAGCAGAGCUGAACCGCUGGUUAGGAUUGCAGAAUUUAGAAGCUUUCAGCGCAUCCUGCUAGCCUGAGAGUUGGCCCAGGUGAACUCAACCACCCACUUCUGUAAGGGGAGGGAGGGGCACUACCUUUCCUAAGCGACUGAUAAAUUUGGUAAGAGCAUUUGAGCAAUUUACCAGGAGACAAUGUCUUAGUACCCUGCCUUUCCAGUCUACUGCAAGAGUCCAUGUUGGAAUUCAAUGGAAUCUCUCGUUGAGCAAGCCACACAGCCUCUCACAACCUCUCCUCUUUGUCUGUAAAACGGCUUUGAAAGUCACAUCUUCCCCUUCCUGCCUCAGUGUUUCAACAGGAGCCCUGGGCUUCUUCUACAAAGGCCUCGCUCCUUCUUGCUCCAGACUCAUUCCUGAGGCCCCAUCUCCCAAGCCUCCUAUAGGAACCCUACUCCGACAUCCACACAGUCCCCAGAGAAACUGCCUAGAAGCCUGGACUUUUCUUCUAGGACACCAUAGUUAAACAUCUAUUGUGAUUUUUAAUAGCUUCUCUCUCUCUAUCCCUCCCUCCCUCUCUCCCUCCCUCCCUCUUUAUCUCCCUCCCUCCUUGCCCCCUACCCCCAACUUAUAAGGAAUGUGAUACAUCAUAGGCACUCAAUACCCAUUUGACAAAUGUUAAGAUUUCUUUUGAGGGGGGGAUGGAAUCCUGGACAUAAUGCAUGCUAAGCCCACACUCAACCAUUGAGGUAUAUUCCCAGCCUGCAAAGGACUAUGAUUUUUCAUUUUGGAAAGAAUAAAAUUGAGGCCCAGAAAGAUACCAAUACCACCUUGGUUCUCUGAGUUCUCUUACAUAUACCAUGCAAGACCCUUAAACUGGUGGGUAAUUUCGUUUUUCAAUGCCUCUGUUUUCUCUGCUGCAGAGUGAGAUUGUGAUGGAGACUAAAUCAAAGCAGGUGAAGCUCUGUGCAUGGCUCAUGAGAAGCACUCUAGUGUUACCUAGCCGUGCCCCUUUUGACUGUCAGUUUCCUGGCCUGACUCAACUUUGUCAUAUGCAAAAAUGAAAGGGUGAGACUCACAGAAUGAGCUUUCAGGCUCAUCGACUCUGAUCUUGGGAUUCUCUAUGGCUGAGAAAGGGACACCACUGGUAGAUGAUCCUAUGAGAACAGAUGAGGGCAAAAUGGAACCCUAAAAGAUGACCCAGUCAGAUGCUGUUCAAGCUGGGGUAGGAUCUAGAGCUCUGAGUUUGGGAGCUUCAUGCUACUGGGCUCCCUUGAUUAUGCCCUACCAUUCUUCAACUCCAACAGAAGAAGGGAAAGCAGUUUGCACAAUGGGUGAAAGGUGACAGAGAGGUAGCAGCCUCUCUGGAAUAAAGGGAAGUAGUGGAGACCCCAUAAUCCAGCAGUGGCCUUCCUUUCUGGCUGAGGUUAAUGCCCCACCCUAUGUGAAUUUCUUCUCCCAGACCUCAGCGGCCUCCACAAUACAGCCCAAAGUACCUGAAGCCCUUUCACUGUUUGCUGGAAUCCCAGCUAUAAGCACUGUUCCUGAAGGUGGUUCCAAGCCAUCUACCCAUUCAAGCUGGCCUACCAGGGAAGGAGAUUGAGGCCUAUAGCAGCCAAAGAAAAGCAUGGCCAAGCUGCUCGGAAAACCAAGGCAGAAGCAGAUGCAGGACUAGAACCUAGGUUUACAGGCCCCUGAUCCUUCGAGAAAGGAUCCCUAAAUGCUAAGUCUCCUGGAGCAGAUGUCUAGCUCCAUAAUUGCAACUCAGGGUCCCCAGAUGCUGAUAGGAGGAUUUGGGAUCUUUGGAGAGGCCUUCCAGGCUGUAGCCCAAGUGAAA